UUACAAGCGUAUAGCAGUCAUGCAGGCAAAACCGCAUGAAAAAUGUAAAGCGUUAUGUGGAUCGAACAUUAGUAGAGAAGCGUGUGAGCCAGCUGCCAAGAAAAGCCGCUAUUGUUUCAUAAGUACCCGUACCGUAAACCGACACAGGUGGAUGAGGAGAGAAUCCUAAGGCCGGCGGGAGAAGUGUUGUUAAGGAACUCGGCAAAUGACUCCGUAACUUCGGGAGAAGGAGUGCCACAGAGAUGUGGCCGCAGAGAAAUGGCCCAAGCAACUGUUUAGCAAAAACACAGGUCUAUGCAAAACCGAAAGGUGAGGUAUAUGGGCUGACGCCUGCCCGGUGCUGGAAGGUUAAGAGGAGAGGAUAGAGCAAUCGAAGCUUUGAAUUUAAGCCCCAGUAAACGGCGGCCGUAACAAUAACGGUCCUAAGGUAGCGAAAUUCCUUGUCGGGUAAGUUCCGACCCGCACGAAAGGCGUAAUGAUUUGGGCACUGUCUCAACAACACACCCGGUGAAAUUGAAAUACCAGUGAAGAUGCUGGUUACCUGCGCCAGGACGGAAAGACCCCAUGGAGCUUUACUCCAGUUUGAUACUGGGAUUCGGUACUGUCUGUACAGGAUAGGUGGGAGGCUAGGAAAUGGUGACGCCAGUUGCCAUGGAGCCAACCUUGGGAUACCACCCUUACAGUACUGGGUUUCUAACCUGCAGCCGUAACCCGGCUGGGGGACAAUGUCUGACGGGGAGUUUGACUGGGGCGGUCGCCUCCGAAAGAGUAUCGGAGGCGCUCAAAGGUUCCCUCAGAACGGUUGGAAACCGUUCGAAGAGUGCAAAGGCAGAAGGGAGCCUGACUGCGACACCGACGGGUGGAGCAGAUACGAAAGUAGGACUUAGUGAUCCGGUGGUAUAAAGUGGGAUUGCCAUCGCUCAACGGAUAAAAGCUACCCUGGGAUAACAGGCUUAUCACUCCCAAGAGUUCACAUCGACGGAGUGGUUUGGCACCUCGAUGUCGGCUCAUCGCAUCCUGGAGCUGUAGCAGGUUCCAAGGGUUGGGCUGUUCGCCCAUUAAAGCGGUACGCGAGCUGGGUUCAGAACGUCGUGAGACAGUUCGGUCCCUAUCCGGCGUGGGCGUAGGAUAUUUGAGAGGAGCUGUCCUUAGUACGAGAGGACCGGGAUGGACAAACCUCUGGUGUAUCUGUUGUUUUACCAAAGGCAUGGCAGAGUAGCCAAGUUUGGCAGGGAUAAACGCUGAAGGCAUCUAAGCGUGAAGCCCCCCUCAAGAUAAGAUAUCCCAUCUUCGGAGUAAGACCCCUUGAAGACUACAAGGUUGAUAGGCUUCAGGUGUAAGUGUGGUAACGCACUCAGCUGAGAAGUACUAAUAGGUCGAGGACUUAUGAA
RNAcentral lists this ribosomal RNA (1391 nucleotides) under metagenome. RNAcentral describes it as "bacterial LSU rRNA". It matches the Rfam family "Bacterial large subunit ribosomal RNA", at positions 1510 to 2925 of the family's 2925-position model. The record is from RNAcentral.